This 265-nucleotide ribosomal RNA is filed under the name uncultured bacterium. RNAcentral describes it as "partial 16S ribosomal RNA". It matches the Rfam family "Bacterial small subunit ribosomal RNA", at positions 89 to 354 of the family's 1533-position model. The record is from RNAcentral.
GGGUUAGUGGCGGACGGGUGAGUAACGCGUGGGUAACCUGCCUUACACAGGGGGAUAACACUUAGAAAUAGGUGCUAAUACCGCAUAAGCGCACGGUACUGCAUGGUACAGUGUGAAAAACUCCGGUGGUAUGGGAUGGACCCGCGUCUGAUUAGCUUGUUGGCGGGGUAACGGCCCACCAAGGCGACGAUCAGUAGCCGGCCUGAGAGGGUGGACGGCCACAUUGGGACUGAGACACGGCCCAAACUCCUACGGAAGGCAGCAG